RNAcentral lists this ribosomal RNA (513 nucleotides) under uncultured Sphingobacterium sp. RNAcentral describes it as "bacterial SSU rRNA". It matches the Rfam family "Bacterial small subunit ribosomal RNA", at positions 9 to 518 of the family's 1533-position model. Lineage: Bacteria; Pseudomonadati; Bacteroidota; Sphingobacteriia; Sphingobacteriales; Sphingobacteriaceae. The record is from RNAcentral.
GAGUUUGAUCAUGGCUCAGGAUGAACGCUAGCGGCAGGCCUAAUACAUGCAAGUCGAGGGGCAGCGGGAGUAGCAAUACUUGCCGGCGACCGGCGCACGGGUGCGUAACACGUAUGUAAUCUGCCCAUCACUGGGGGAUAGCCCGGAGAAAUCCGGAUUAAUACCCCAUAAUAGUUGAAGAGGCAUCUCUUUGAUUUGAAAGUUCCGACGGUGAUGGAUGAACAUGCGACUGAUUAGUUUGUUGGUGAGGUAACGGCUCACCAAGGCUACGAUCAGUAGGGGUACUGAGAGGUUAAACCCCCACACUGGUACUGAGACACGGACCAGACUCCUACGGGAGGCAGCAGUAAGGAAUAUUGGACAAUGGCCGCAAGGCUGAUCUAGCCAUGCCGCGUGCAGGAAGACGGACCUAUGGUUUGUAAACUGCUUUUGAACUAGAGAAAACCCCCCUACGUGUAGGGGGCUGAUAGUAUAGUUAGAAUAAGCAUCGGCUAACUUCGUGCCAGCAGCCGC